AGAUGAUCGUAUUAUUGGUGACAUUCCUUUUUCUUCAGCGGGGAUAUACUAUUGUACCAAUGAAGAUGGUCCAGCAUGGAGAAUCUGUGAGCUUUCAAUGUGAUCUGCCCAGUGAGUUUAGUGAAAGAGUCAUCCACUGGUAUAAGCAAGAGACCAGGCGAUAUGCUGAGACUGAUUUUGAAAGUGAUUAUAAAGACAACAACAACCUAAAAUCCCUGAAUUUGAGCCAGAGUUUUCUAAGUCAAGAUGGGAGGUAAAAACUAAUCAAAAAUUUAGCCGUCUGACAUUGUUGAAGGCAACCUACAGUGAUGAUGGACUCUAUCACUGUGCACUCGCUGCUUGGAACGGGAAUAUCGAAUGGAGAGGGACAUAUUGGAUGGCUAUAGGGAAUACUGUGAAAGAUGUCAGACUGCACUGUCAUUCAGCAGCCUGCAGCAUCCAAUCCAGUCCGUCUCGGAGACACGGCUACCCUUCAGUGUUCAGUUUUGUUUGAAUCUGAGACGAUGGCUUGCUCUGAAGAUUUCAGCAUGUUCUGGUUCCAAGCAAAAUCAAAUAACACCUAUCCAAAUAUGAUCUACACAGACGGAAACAAACAUCAUGAAUGUGAGAAGAGAUCUGACUCUGAGAAGAGUUGUAUGUUUAAUUACUCAAAAGUUGUCAACUCCUCUGAUUCUGGGA
This is a long non-coding RNA of Xiphophorus hellerii (green swordtail), 678 nucleotides long. RefSeq lists it as uncharacterized. The record is from RefSeq and is a predicted model, not a curated record. The transcript has 3 exons. NCBI's taxonomy places the organism in Eukaryota, Metazoa, Chordata, Actinopteri, Cyprinodontiformes, Poeciliidae.